GCCUUAAACCAGAUCACCCAGAAUGUGCCUAGUCUUAUCAGAUCUCAGAAGCUAAGCAGGUAUGGGCCUGGCUGUUGAUUGGAUGGGUGGCCACCACGCAUAACAGGUUGUUGUAUGCU
RNAcentral lists this ribosomal RNA (119 nucleotides) under Petromyzon marinus (sea lamprey). The record is from RNAcentral. Lineage: Eukaryota; Metazoa; Chordata; Hyperoartia; Petromyzontiformes; Petromyzontidae.